CGAACUCUGGUAUUGAUUGGUGCUUGCAUCAUGAUUUACAUUUGAGUGAGUGGCGAACUGGUGAGUAACACGUGGGAAACCUGCCCAGAAGCGGGGGAUAACACCUGGAAACAGAUGCUAAUACCGCAUAACAACUUGGACCGCAUGGUCCGAGUUUGAAAGAUGGCUUCGGCUAUCACUUUUGGAUGGUCCCGCGGCGUAUUAGCUAGAUGGUGAGGUAACGGCUCACCAUGGCAAUGAUACGUAGCCGACCUGAGAGGGUAAUCGGCCACAUUGGGACUGAGACACGGCCCAAACUCCUACGGGAGGCAGCAGUAGGGAAUCUUCCACAAUGGACGAAAGUCUGAUGGAGCAACGCCGCGUGAGUGAAGAAGGGUUUCGGCUCGUAAAACUCUGUUGUUAAAGAAGAACAUAUCUGAGAGUAACUGUUCAGGUAUUGACGGUAUUUAACCAGAAAGCCACGGCUAACUACGUGCCAGCAGCCGCGGUAAUACGUAGGUGGCAAGCGUUGUCCGGAUUUAUUGGGCGUAAAGCGAGCGCAGGCGGUUUUUUAAGUCUGAUGUGAAAGCCUUCGGCUCAACCGAAGAAGUGCAUCGGAAACUGGGAAACUUGAGUGCAGAAGAGGACAGUGGAACUCCAUGUGUAGCGGUGAAAUGCGUAGAUAUAUGGAAGAACACCAGUGGCGAAGGCGGCUGUCUGGUCUGUAACUGACGCUGAGGCUCGAAAGUAUGGGUAGCAAACAGGAUUAGAUACCCUGGUAGUCCAUACCGUAAACGAUGAAUGCUAAGUGUUGGAGGGUUUCCGCCCUUCAGUGCUGCAGCUAACGCAUUAAGCAUUCCGCCUGGGGAGUACGGCCGCAAGGCUGAAACUCAAAGGAAUUGACGGGGGCCCGCACAAGCGGUGGAGCAUGUGGUUUAAUUCGAAGCUACGCGAAGAACCUUACCAGGUCUUGACAUACUAUGCAAAUCUAAGAGAUUAGACGUUCCCUUCGGGGACAUGGAUACAGGUGGUGCAUGGUUGUCGUCAGCUCGUGUCGUGAGAUGUUGGGUUAAGUCCCGCAACGAGCGCAACCCUUAUUAUCAGUUGCCAGCAUUAAGUUGGGCACUCUGGUGAGACUGCCGGUGACAAACCGGAGGAAGGUGGGGAUGACGUCAAAUCAUCAUGCCCCUUAUGACCUGGGCUACACACGUGCUACAAUGGAUGGUACAACGAGUUGCGAACUCGCGAGAGUAAGCUAAUCUCUUAAAGCCAUUCUCAGUUCGGAUUGUAGGCUGCAACUCGCCUACAUGAAGUCGGAAUCGCUAGUAAUCGCGGAUCAGCAUGCCGCGGUGAAUACGUUCCCGGGCCUUGUACACACCGCCCGUCACACCAUGAGAGUUUGUAACACCCAAAGUCGGUGG
This 1400-nucleotide ribosomal RNA is filed under the name Lactiplantibacillus plantarum. RNAcentral's name for it is "bacterial SSU rRNA". It matches the Rfam family "Bacterial small subunit ribosomal RNA", at positions 63 to 1433 of the family's 1533-position model. The record is from RNAcentral. Lineage: Bacteria; Bacillati; Bacillota; Bacilli; Lactobacillales; Lactobacillaceae.